Strongylocentrotus purpuratus (purple sea urchin) is the source of this 570-nucleotide long non-coding RNA. RefSeq lists it as uncharacterized. NCBI's taxonomy places the organism in Eukaryota, Metazoa, Echinodermata, Echinoidea, Camarodonta, Strongylocentrotidae. The record is from RefSeq and is a predicted model, not a curated record. The transcript is spliced from 3 exons.
UUUCUUGGAAAGUCUGCUGGAUGAUGUUUUUCUUCAGUAAAAUAAAUGAAGGCAAAUUCCCUGAUAACUGAGACAAAUUCAGAGAGAGGAAAGGAGAACUACUGAGCUGCUGAAUUUCUGACAGACAUACUUGCAAGGACUAUGAAGUUCUACUUUAUAGCCUCUUCAAAGAACCAGACUCCAUCUGCUGUAACUGUGACUGCAUGGGGAUCAAAACCUUUGUAUUAUAAUCCUCAUAACAUGAAGCUAUGGUAACAAACAAGCAACCAUUGAUAAAAAGCCUGAUAUGUCCUUGUUGUUGUGUGUGAACCACAAAGCAACCAUCACUCAUAAGGAUGUUUUUAUGUACAUCAGAUGUUCAUUGUUUCACUGGAAAAAUUGUGAUUUUGAAUCAUUUAAGAAAUCAUGUUUUAUAAUGUGUUUUAUAAUUAUAGUGCAAGUCAUGAUAUAACAGAUUCCUGCAAAAGAAACACGGCUCAAAAAUAGACUAUGCUUUGUUUUAAAAAAAUGGGAGAAGGUAAUGUAACAAAUACAUAACAUUUAAUCCUAAUAGUUUCAAGGAGCAGAUUA